This 493-nucleotide ribosomal RNA is filed under the name uncultured bacterium. RNAcentral's name for it is "bacterial SSU rRNA". It matches the Rfam family "Bacterial small subunit ribosomal RNA", at positions 30 to 516 of the family's 1533-position model. The record is from RNAcentral.
AUUGAACGCUGGCGGCGUGCCUAACACAUGCAAGUCGAGCGGUAACAGGUGUAGCAAUACAUGCUGACGAGCGGCGGACGGGUGAGUAACGCUUGGGAAUCUGCCUAUUAGUGGGGGACAACCCGGGAAACUCGGGCUAAUACCGCAUACGCUCUACGGAGGAAAGCCGGGGACCGCAAGGCCUGGCGCUAAUAGAUGAGCCUAAGUCCGAUUAGCUAGUUGGUAGGGUAAUGGCCUACCAAGGCGACGAUCGGUAGCUGGUCUGAGAGGACGACCAGCCACACUGGGACUGAGACACGGCCCAGACUCCUACGGGAGGCAGCAGUGGGGAAUAUUGGACAAUGGGCGCAAGCCUGAUCCAGCGAUGCCGCGUGUGUGAAGAAGGCCUGCGGGUUGUAAAGCACUUUCAGUAGGGAAGAAAGCCGAGUGCUAAUAUCACUCGGUCUUGACGUUACUUACAGAAGAAGCACCGGCUAACUCCGUGCCAGCAGCC